This 1692-nucleotide long non-coding RNA is filed under the name Anas platyrhynchos platyrhynchos (common mallard). RNAcentral's name for it is "lncRNA (ENSAPLG00000020968.1)". Lineage: Eukaryota; Metazoa; Chordata; Aves; Anseriformes; Anatidae. The record is from RNAcentral.
GGACGGGGAGAGGUUGGAGCAGUGAAAGUUUGUCUUUUAUCCUGGAUUCAAGCAGAGUUUCCACACCUCCUCCCCCUCUCCCCCAACCCCCAUAUUUCAGCUUUCAAUUAGAAAAGGAAAACCCAACAAACAUUUGGCUCCUACUGCUACUGGAGAAGGGGAGUGUCUCCAGCUCUGGAAAAGCCCAGGAGGAAGGUAGCUCUGGAUUCCUACCACAGAAGUACUUUUAAAAUACUUGGAUGCUUUUUGAUCUUCAUUAUAAAUGUCCAGGAAUUCUGUGAUACUGCCCAUCUUUUCUGGUGCUGGGGUCAAAUGUAUAGCGGGGAGGCAUUCACAAAAGCUCACAGAAAUAACACCAGUAGCCUGUGCUAGAAGUGAUGCAGUCCAUCACAGGACUCCACGUGCCACAGAGUGGACAGGGAUGCAAAGGGAAGUGCAGAGUCCUUGUGCUCCCCCAUGGCCCUGGGGAGCAGAAGGCUGGCCACUAACAAAGCACCGUCUGCUGGGCAUGCCUCUGGGCCAGCAUGCUAAUUGGAAACAGAGGGCCUUCUGCCUGCAGCCUCCCAGCCCCAGUCCUUGGAAGUGUGCAAUCAUGAUCAAUAAUGCUCCCUGGGAAUCUUUUAAAGUGCUCCUGGCCACAUCGCUCCAGUAAAGGAUUUGUCAGCCUUUCCAUAAACCCCAGUUUUGAAGAGUUUAUAGCUCAGAUUGUUUUCAUUAUCUUGAGGUGAAAGUUGCUAUAUAAAAUUUCAGACCAGAAACACUUUUUCCCUUAGUAAUACAAAAUAUUGUUUAAAACAAAUUUUGCCUCCAAAUUUAGACUCCUGGUAACAACCAUGCUGUUCCCUCCCCAGUUGCUUUGGGUGUGUUGUUCACAACUUCUGCAUGAAAAACUGCUGAAUUUAAGGAUUAACAAAUAGGCAGUGAACUCUUCUGUUGAACUUUUAAACCACCGACUAAUUCACUCAGGACUGCCUGGUUACUCUACUCCCUCCCAAGAAACGCAGUAAGACCAAGUAAGGAACUUUGGGGGAAAAAGAGCAAACAUUGCUGCUCUGUUUUCCCCUUUCAGUAGCUGAAACUACAGUUUUGAAGCUCACUGCAGCUCCAUUCAUGGCAAACUACUUUGCCACUUUUCCCUGUUAAACUGUUGCUACACUGCAAGACAGAAAUAACUGAGCUUCCAGUAACAGACACUUCUUUUCCUGUACAGGAAUAGCACUCCAGAUACCUAUGCUGAUAGACAACAGUGGGAGAAGAGAACUAGGGAUAUCCUUCCAAACUCAAAAAAUUUUUACAAAACAGGGAAUAGAACAUCAUAACUUAAUAUCUCUGGGACUGACCCAGGUGAACCAGAAGGGUUGUCACACAACUGAGUUUAUCUGCCAAAGCCAAGCGGAUUUAUAUUUGCUAGAUCUCCACUGUCUGGGAACAUUGUCCAUUUUAUCCAGAUGUCAUGUGACCAAUAUAAUCCAGGCAGAAUUAACAUGUUUUGGAUGUUUUCUUAACAAAAAGGGACAUUUCCCACCCCCCCUCCUUUUUUUUUUUUUUUGUGGGGGGGGGGGGUAGCAGGGGAGCGAGGGGAAAGGGGGAUAUAGACUGUGCUUAGGGUAACUUCCCUUCAACCAAUGGAAUUUUUUGUGUAAGAAAGUUGGGAAAAAAUAAAAGGAAAAAAAAAUGUUUUCUUUCUAAUCA